This 2900-nucleotide ribosomal RNA is filed under the name Clostridioides difficile. Its description in RNAcentral is "bacterial LSU rRNA". It matches the Rfam family "Bacterial large subunit ribosomal RNA". The record is from RNAcentral. Lineage: Bacteria; Bacillati; Bacillota; Clostridia; Peptostreptococcales; Peptostreptococcaceae.
UGGUCAAGUUAUUAAGGGUGCAGGGCGGAUGCCUUGGCACUAGGAGCCGAUGAAGGACGUGAUAAGCUGCGAUAAGCUUCGGGGAGUUGCACGUAAACUUUGAUCCGAAGAUUUCCGAAUGAGGAAACUCACUUAGAGUAAUGUCUAAGUAUCAUUAAGUGAAUACAUAGCUUAAUGAGGGGAACUCAGGGAACUGAAACAUCUAAGUACCUGAAGGAAGAGAAAGAAAUUCGAUUCCGUAAGUAGCGGCGAGCGAACGCGGAUUAGCCCAAACCAAUAAAGUUUUCUUUAUUGGGGUUGCGGACAUAUCAUAACGAAGAGGUAUCGUAAUUGAAGAAGUUUGGAAAGACCCACCACAGAAGGUAAUAGUCCUGUAUGUUAAACGAGAAGACUUCAGAUAUGAUCCAGAGUACCACGGGACACGUGAAACCCUGUGGGAAGCAGGAGGGACCACCCUCCAAGGCUAAAUACUACCUAGUGACCGAUAGCGUAUAGUACCGUGAGGGAAAGGUGAAAAGAACCCCGGGAGGGGAGUGAAAUAGAACCUGAAACCCUGCACUUACAAGCUGUGGAAGCACAUUUCUUGUGUGACCGCGUACUUUUUGUAGAACGGGCCAACGAGUUACGUUAAGUAGCAAGGUUAAGCACUUAAGGUGUGGAGCCGUAGCGAAAGCGAGUUUUAACUGAGCGUUCAGUUACUUGACGUAGACCCGAAACCGGGCGACCUACCCAUGAGCAGGAUGAAGCGAAAGUAAAAUUUCGUGGAGGUCCGAACCCACGAGCGUUGAAAAGCUCGGGGAUGACUUGUGGGUAGCGGUGAAAUUCCAAUCGAGCCCGGAGAUAGCUGGUUCUCCCCGAAAUAGCUUUAGGGCUAGCCUCAAGGUGAGAGAUACGGAGGUAGAGCACUGAAUGUCCUAGGGGGUAUUGCACCUACCGAAGACUAUCAAACUCCGAAUGCCGUCAUCUUAUACUUGGGAGUCAGACUGUGGGUGAUAAGAUUCAUAGUCGAAAGGGCAACAGCCCAGAUCGUCAGCUAAGGUCCCUAAAUGUAAGUUAAGUGGUAAAGGAUGUGGGAUUGCACAGACAACCAGGAUGUUGGCUUAGAAGCAGCCACUCAUUCAAAGAGUGCGUAAUAGCUCACUGGUCGAGUGAUCCUGCGCCGAAGAUUUCCGGGGCUAAAACUUACUACCGAAGCUACGGCAUCAGUAAUGAUGGGUAGGGGAGCUUCCCAUAUGGGUUGAAGCAUGACCGUAAGGACAUGUGGACAGUAUGGGAGUGAGAAUGUUGGCAUGAGUAGCGAGAUGUGGGUGAGAAUCCCACAGGCCGUAAACCCAAGGUUUCCAGGGGAAGGUUCGUCCGCCCUGGGUUAGUCGGGACCUAAGCUGAGGCCGAAAGGCGUAGGUGAUGGACAACAGGUUGAUAUUCCUGUACUACCGAUAACCGUUUGAGAGAAGGGAUGACACAGUAGGAUAAGCUAAGCACACUGUUGGUUAUGUGUGCCCAAGCAUUGAGGCAGUCAAAGUAGGCAAAUCCGCUUUGAUAAUGCUGGGAUGUGAUGGGGAGCGAAAUUUAGUAGCGAAGUAGCUGAUUUCACACUGUCAAGAAAAGUCUCUAUCGAGGUUAAAGGUACCCGUACCGCAAACCGACACAGGUGGGUGAGGAGAGUAUCCUAAGGCCAGCGAGAGAACUGUUGUUAAGGAACUCGGCAAAAUGACCCCGUAACUUAGGGAUAAGGGGUGCCACCAUCAGGUGGCCGCAGAGAAUAGGCCCAAGCGACUGUUUACCAAAAACAUAGGUUUCUGCUAAGUCGCAAGACGAUGUAUAGGAGCUGACGCCUGCCCGGUGCUGGAAGGUUAAGGGGAUCUGUUAGAGCAAUCGAAGCAGUGAACUUAAGCCCCAGUAAACGGCGGCCGUAACUAUAACGGUCCUAAGGUAGCGAAAUUCCUUGUCGGGUAAGUUCCGACCCGCACGAAAGGCGUAACGAUUUGGGCACUGUCUCAACAACAGACUCGGUGAAAUUGUAAUUCCGGUGAAGAUGCCGGAUACCUGCGACAGGACGGAAAGACCCCAUGGAGCUUUACUGUAGCUUGACAUUGGGUCUUGGUACUACAUGUACAGGAUAGGUGGGAGGCUUUGAAACCAGGACGCCAGUUUUGGCGGAGCCAUCCUUGGGAUACCACCCUUGUAGUACUGGGACUCUAACCAUAGGCCAUGAAUCUGGUCUUGGGACACUGUCAGGUGGGCAGUUUGACUGGGGCGGUCGCCUCCCAAAAGGUAACGGAGGCGCUCAAAGGUUCUCUCAGUACGGUCGGAAAUCGUACGUAGAGUGUAAAGGCAAAAGAGAGCUUGAUUGCAAGACAUACAGGUCGAGCAAGGAUGAAAAUCGGACUUAGUGAUCCGGUGGUUCUGCGUGGAAGGGCCAUCGCUCAACGGAUAAAAGCUACCCUGGGGAUAACAGGCUUAUCUCCCCCAAGAGUCCACAUCGACGGGGAGGUUUGGCACCUCGAUGUCGGCUCAUCACAUCCUGGGGCUGUAGUAGGUCCCAAGGGUUGGGCUGUUCGCCCAUUAAAGUGGUACGCGAGCUGGGUUCAGAACGUCGUGAGACAGUUCGGUCCCUAUCCGUCGCAGGCGUAGGAAAUUUGAGAAGACCUGUCCUUAGUACGAGAGGACCGGGAUGGACGUACCUCUGGUGUACCAGUUGUUCUGCCAAGGGCAUGGCUGGGUAGCUAUGUGCGGAAUGGAUAAGCGCUGAAAGCAUCUAAGCGCGAAGCCAACUUCAAGAUAAGAUUUCCCACCGCAAGGGUAAGACCCCAGAAAGACUAUCUGGUUGAUAGGUCGAAGGUGUAAGUGCAGCAAUGUAUUUAGCUUAUCGAUACUAAUAGGUCGAGGACUUGACCAAU